Molecule: ribosomal RNA, 462 nt
Filed under: uncultured bacterium
Lineage: Bacteria
Description: partial 16S ribosomal RNA
Rfam family: Bacterial small subunit ribosomal RNA
Source: RNAcentral
CCUACGGGAGGCAGCAGUGAGGAAUAUUGGUCAAUGGACGAGAGUUUGAACCAGCCAAGUAGCGUGAAGGAUGACUGCCCUAUGGGUUGUAAACUUCUUUUAUAUGGGAAUAAAAUGUUCCACGUGUGGGAUUUUGUAUGUACCAUAUGAAUAAGGAUCGGCUAACUCCGUGCCAGCAGCCGCGGUCAUACGUAGGAUCCGAGCAUUAUCCGGAGUGACUGGGUGUAAAGAGUUGCGUAGGUGGCAUAAUAAGUAGCUAGUGAAAUCUGGUGGCUCAACCAUUCAGACUAUUAGCUAAACUGUUAAGCUCGAGACCGUUAGGGGUAACUGGAAUUUCUAGUGUAGGAGUGAAAUCCGUAGAUAUUAGAAGGAACACCAAUAGCGUAGGCAGGUUGCUGGGACGGUUCUGACACUAAGGCACGAAAGCGUAGGGAGCAAACGGGAUUAGAUACCCGAGUAGUC